GGGUAAACCGGGUAAACCGGGUAAACCGGGUAAACCGGGUAAACCGGGUAAACCGGGUAAACCGGGUAAACCGGGUAAACCGGGUAAACCCGGGUAAACCCGGGUAACCCGGGUAACCCGGGUAACCCGGGUAACCCGGGUAACCCGGGUAACCCGGGUAACCCGGGU
Molecule: small RNA, 168 nt
Filed under: Nicotiana attenuata
Lineage: Eukaryota; Viridiplantae; Streptophyta; Magnoliopsida; Solanales; Solanaceae
Description: Collinsella-1 RNA
Rfam family: Collinsella-1 RNA
Source: Rfam by way of RNAcentral